ACGUACUCAGAGACAGCAGCAUGGGAAAUACGUAGGGUGCAAGCGUGAAUCGGAAUUACUGAGCGUAAAGCGGUCGCAAGCAGCUUAUUAAGUCAGAGUUGGAAUCCCUAGGCUCAACCUAGGAAAUGAAUUUGAAACUAAUAAACUAGAGUAUCGUAGAGGGAGGUAGAAUUCCAGGUGUAGCGGUGAAAUGCGUAGAUAUCUGGAGGAAUACCAGUGGCGAAGGCGACCUCCUGGACGAAAACUGACGCUCAAGCACGAAAGCAUGGGGAGCAAACAGGAUUAGAUACCCCAGUAGUC
This 300-nucleotide ribosomal RNA is filed under the name uncultured Ferroglobus sp. RNAcentral's name for it is "partial 16S ribosomal RNA". It matches the Rfam family "Bacterial small subunit ribosomal RNA", at positions 496 to 795 of the family's 1533-position model. Lineage: Archaea; Methanobacteriati; Methanobacteriota; Archaeoglobi; Archaeoglobales; Archaeoglobaceae. The record is from RNAcentral.